This is a long non-coding RNA of Cucurbita moschata (crookneck pumpkin), 771 nucleotides long. RefSeq lists it as uncharacterized. The transcript has 2 exons. Lineage: Eukaryota; Viridiplantae; Streptophyta; Magnoliopsida; Cucurbitales; Cucurbitaceae. The record is from RefSeq and is a predicted model, not a curated record.
GAUUUGAUUUCUUUCUUGAAGUUUUCUGUUAUUCGCGAGAUUGAUGGUCUUACUAUGUUUUCUGCUACAAUUUCUUGAAUGGAUGCUUACUGUUUUAGCUCCUUUUACGUUGUUCGACUCUGACGUCGAUCUGCUUUACCCCUAGAAAUAUAUAUAUUGGCGUUUGAAAGAAACUGACUGUUUGUGCUAAUUCAGACUAAUCGGAUAUGCUUGCAGGGUUCUAGGGAAAAUAAAAAAUAGAAAGAAAAUCAGUGAUAAUCUAUCUGGUUUGAUCGAUAUCAGUUAAGAGAUCAUGAUACCAUCUUAGCCAUAACACCAGGCAAAAGAAGUGUUGUGAAUGCUUGGUGAUUUAUAAUAACAGGAAACAUAGGAUGAAGCACAAAAUGCAGACAAAAUUAUAUGAUCAUUUGGUGUUCAUUGGUAUGUUGUGAGAUCCCACGUCGGUUGGGGAGGAGAACGAAGCCUUCUUUAUAAGGGUGUGGAAACGUCUCCCAGCAUAUGCUUUUUAAAGAGGACCAUAUCUGCUAGAGAUGGGCUUAGACCGUUAUAUAUGUAUUAGAUUAUGCUUUGUGCCAUCAAUCUUUCUUGCGAAUGCCAAUAGGUAGAUUUAUGGUAGAACAGUUGAUCCAACUUAGUCUUAAUCUACUUUUUUGAGGCAUUUGAUUCCUGGUUUGAGAAGUUCGGAUUUAUGUUGAUUGUUGAUACAUUGGAUUGCUUGUCUUAGAGAUAAACUGUUUGAUAAUCAAUGAAAUGAUACUUUUACUCUUGAAA